GAGCCGGUAGCUCAGCCGGUAGAGCACCGGACUUUUAAUCCGGGUGUCGCGGGUUCGAUUCCCGCCCGGCUCACCA
RNAcentral lists this transfer RNA (76 nucleotides) under Brockia lithotrophica. RNAcentral's name for it is "tRNA-Lys". It matches the Rfam family "tRNA". Rfam says of the family: Transfer RNA (tRNA) molecules are approximately 80 nucleotides in length. Their secondary structure includes four short double-helical elements and three loops (D, anti-codon, and T loops). The record is from RNAcentral. Lineage: Bacteria; Bacillati; Bacillota; Bacilli; Thermicanales; Thermicanaceae.